Molecule: signal recognition particle RNA, 299 nt
Filed under: Cebus imitator (Panamanian white-faced capuchin)
Lineage: Eukaryota; Metazoa; Chordata; Mammalia; Primates; Cebidae
Description: Metazoan signal recognition particle RNA (ENSCCAG00000010966.1)
Rfam family: Metazoan signal recognition particle RNA
About the family: The signal recognition particle (SRP) is a universally conserved ribonucleoprotein. It is involved in the co-translational targeting of proteins to membranes.
Source: RNAcentral
GCCGGGCGCAGUGGUGCGUGCCUGUAGUCUCAGCUACUCAGGAGGCUGAGGUGGGAGGAUCGCUUGAGCCCAGGAGUUCUGGGCUGUACUGCGCUAUGCUGAUCAGGUGUCCGCACUAAGUUCAGCAUCAAUAUGGUGACCUCCCGGGAGUGGGGGACCACCAGGUUGCCUAAGGAGGGGUGAACCAGCCCAGUUUGGAAAUGGAGCAGGUCAAAACUCCCGUGCUGAUCAGUAGUGGGAUUGUGCCUGUGAAUAGCCACUGCACUCCAGCCUGGGCAACAGAGCAAGAUUCCAUUUCA